UACGGAGGGUGCAAACGUUGCUCGGAAUCAUUGGGCGUAAAGCGUGUGUAGGCGACCUGUUAAGUCGGGUGUGAAAGCCCCGGGCUCAACCCGGGAAGUGCAUUCGAUACUGGACAUCUUGAGUACGGGAGAGGUGAGUGGAACUCCGAGUGUAGAGGUGAAAUUCGUAGAUAUUCGGAAGAACACCAGUGGCGAAGGCGACUCACUGGCCCGUUACUGACGCUGAGGCGCGAAAGCGUGGGGAGCAAACAGG
RNAcentral lists this ribosomal RNA (253 nucleotides) under uncultured bacterium. RNAcentral describes it as "partial 16S ribosomal RNA". It matches the Rfam family "Bacterial small subunit ribosomal RNA", at positions 524 to 776 of the family's 1533-position model. The record is from RNAcentral.